RNAcentral lists this unclassified non-coding RNA (253 nucleotides) under uncultured Gammaproteobacteria bacterium. Its description in RNAcentral is "contains 16S-23S intergenic spacer region". It matches the Rfam family "Bacterial small subunit ribosomal RNA", at positions 524 to 776 of the family's 1533-position model. The record is from RNAcentral. Lineage: Bacteria; Pseudomonadati; Pseudomonadota; Gammaproteobacteria.
UACGGAGGGUGCGAGCGUUAAUCGGAAUUACUGGGCGUAAAGCGCGCGUAGGCGGUUGAUCAAGUUGGGUGUGAAAUUCCCGGGCUUAACCUGGGGUGGUCACUCAAAACUGGUUGACUAGAGUACAGUAGAGGUUGAUGGAAUUUCCGGUGUAGCAGUGAAAUGCGUAGAGAUCGGAAGGAACACCAGUGGCGAAGGCGAUUGACUGGGCUGAUACUGACGCUGAGGUGCGAAGGCGUGGGGAGCAAACAGG